RNAcentral lists this ribosomal RNA (253 nucleotides) under uncultured bacterium. RNAcentral describes it as "partial 16S ribosomal RNA". It matches the Rfam family "Bacterial small subunit ribosomal RNA", at positions 524 to 776 of the family's 1533-position model. The record is from RNAcentral.
UACAGAGGUCUCAAGCGUUGUUCGGAUUCAUUGGGCGUAAAGGGUGUGUAGGUGGCGCGCUAAGUCGGGUGUGAAAUUUCGGAGCUUAACUCCGAAACUGCAUUUGAUACUGGCGUGCUUGAGGACUGGAGAGGAGACUGGAAUUCCUGGUGUAGCGGUGAAAUGCGCAGAUAUCAGGAGGAACACCGGUGGCGAAGGCGGAUCUCUGGGCCAUUACUGACGCUGAGGAGCGAAAGCGUGGGGAGCGAACAGG